RNAcentral lists this non-coding RNA (45 nucleotides) under Schistosoma mattheei. The record is from RNAcentral. Lineage: Eukaryota; Metazoa; Platyhelminthes; Trematoda; Strigeidida; Schistosomatidae.
AUUCAGCUGACGAAUCUUAAAUCAGACGAAACAUGCGUCCUGGAU